Molecule: ribosomal RNA, 497 nt
Filed under: uncultured bacterium
Lineage: Bacteria
Description: bacterial SSU rRNA
Rfam family: Bacterial small subunit ribosomal RNA
Source: RNAcentral
AGAGUUUGAUCCUGGCUCAGAAUCAACGCUGGCGGCGUGCCUAACACAUGCAAGUCGAAUGCGAAAGGGACUUCGGUCCUGAGUAGAGUGGCGAACGGGUGAGUAACGCGUGGGUGACCUACCCUCGAGUGGGGGAUAACGUUCCGAAAGGGACGCUAAUACCGCAUGAUAUUCCGGGUUUGAAGACCUGGAAAUCAAAGCCGGGGACCGCAAGGCCUGGCGCUUGAGGAGGGGCCCGCGUCUGAUUAGCUAGUUGGCGGGGUAAUGGCCCACCAAGGCGACGAUCAGUAGCCGGCCUGAGAGGGCGGACGGCCACACUGGGACUGAGACACGGCCCAGACUCCUACGGGAGGCAGCAGUGGGGAAUUGUUCGCAAUGGGCGCAAGCCUGACGACGCAACGCCGCGUGGAGGAUGAAGGUCUUCGGAUCGUAAACUCCUGUUGAUCGGGACGAAAAGCUUCGACCUAAUACGUCGAAGACUGACGGUACCGGUUGAG